CAUUUUAGUUUGCUUGCAACUGAAGAUGGCGACCGGCGCACGGGUGAGUAACACGUAUCCAAUCUGCCGAUAACUCCGGGAUAGCCUUUCGAAAGAAAGAUUAAUACCGGAUAGCAUACGAAUAUCGCAUGAUAUUUUUAUUAAAGAAUUUCGGUUAUCGAUGGGGAUGCGUUCCAUUAGUUUGUUGGCGGGGUAACGGCCCACCAAGACAACGAUGGAUAGGGGUUCUGAGAGGAAGGUCCCCCACAUUGGAACUGAGACACGGUCCAAACUCCUACGGGAGGCAGCAGUGAGGAAUAUUGGUCAAUGGGCGAGAGCCUGAACCAGCCAAGUAGCGUGAAGGAUGAAGGCUCUAUGGGUCGUAAACUUCUUUUAUAUGGGAAUAAAGUAUUCCACGUGUGGAAUUUUGUAUGUACCAUAUGAAUAAGGAUCGGCUAACUCCGUGCCAGCAGCCGCGGUAAUACGGAGGAUCCGAGCGUUAUCCGGAUUUAUUGGGUUUAAAGGGAGCGUAGGUGGAUUGUUAAGUCAGUUGUGAAAGUUUGCGGCUCAACCGUAAAAUUGCAGUUGAAACUGGCAGUCUUGAGUACAGUAGAGGUGGGCGGAAUUCGUGGUGUAGCGGUGAAAUGCUUAGAUAUCACGAAGAACUCCGAUUG
This 653-nucleotide ribosomal RNA is filed under the name uncultured Bacteroides sp. Its description in RNAcentral is "bacterial SSU rRNA". It matches the Rfam family "Bacterial small subunit ribosomal RNA", at positions 70 to 715 of the family's 1533-position model. Lineage: Bacteria; Pseudomonadati; Bacteroidota; Bacteroidia; Bacteroidales; Bacteroidaceae. The record is from RNAcentral.